This 503-nucleotide ribosomal RNA is filed under the name uncultured bacterium. RNAcentral describes it as "partial 16S ribosomal RNA". It matches the Rfam family "Bacterial small subunit ribosomal RNA", at positions 28 to 523 of the family's 1533-position model. The record is from RNAcentral.
GAUGAACGCUAGCGAUAGGCCUAACACAUGCAAGUCGAGGGGCAUCACGGAGUAGCAAUACUUUGGUGGCGACCGGCGCACGGGUGAGUAACGCGUAUGCAAUCUACCUACAACAGGGGGAUAACCCGGAGAAAUCCGGACUAAUACCGCAUAACACAGGGGUCCCGCAUGGGAAUAUUUGUUAAAGAUUUAUCGGUUGUAGAUGAGCAUGCGUUCCAUUAGGUAGUUGGUGAGGUAACGGCCCACCAAGCCUGCGAUGGAUAGGGGAACUGAGAGGUUUGUCCCCCACACUGGAACUGAGCAACGGACCAGACUCCUACGGGAGGCAGCAGUGAGGAAUAUUGGUCAAUGGGCGAGAGCCUGAACCAGCCAAAUCGCGUGAAGGAAGACUGCCUUAUGGGUUGUAAACUUCUUUUGUACAGGAAUAAAAAGAGGGACGUGUCCUUCAUUGCAUGUACUGUACGAAUAAGCAUCGGCUAACUCCGUGCCAGCAGCCGCAGUAA